This 467-nucleotide ribosomal RNA is filed under the name uncultured euryarchaeote. RNAcentral describes it as "bacterial SSU rRNA". It matches the Rfam family "Archaeal small subunit ribosomal RNA", at positions 385 to 853 of the family's 1478-position model. The record is from RNAcentral. Lineage: Archaea; Methanobacteriati; Methanobacteriota.
UGCUCAUGCUUUGCAUGGGCUUUUGCCAAGGAGUAAAUAUCUUGGCGAAUAAGUGGUGGGUAAGACGGGUGCCAGCCGCCGCGGUAACACCUGCGCCACGAGUGGCAAUCAUGUUUAUUGGGCCUAAAGCGUUCGUAGCCGGAUCUAUAAGUCUUGGGUGAAAUCGUUGCGCUUAACAAAACGAAUUGCUUGAGAUACUGUUGAUCUUGGGACCGGGAGGCGUUAAGGGUAUUUCUGAGGGAGCGGUAAAAUGUUGUAAUCUCAGGAGGACCACCUGUGGCGAAGGCGCUUAACGAGAACGGGUCCGACGGUGAGGAACGAAAGCUAGGGGAGCAAAACGGAUUAGAUACCCGAGUAGUCCUAGCCGUAAACGCUGUGUACUAGAUGUUGCAUAUUUUUCGUGAAUGUGCAGUGUCGGAGCGAAGGUAUUAAGUACACCGCCUGGGGAGUACGGUCGCAAGGCUGAA